Hirundo rustica (Barn swallow) is the source of this 1751-nucleotide long non-coding RNA. RefSeq lists it as uncharacterized. NCBI's taxonomy places the organism in Eukaryota, Metazoa, Chordata, Aves, Passeriformes, Hirundinidae. The transcript is spliced from 2 exons. The record is from RefSeq and is a predicted model, not a curated record.
GCUACCCUUUAAAACCAGGGCUGAGGGGUGGCCUGUGCCUCUCUGUACUCAGGAAAGGAGGAGAGCUUGCUCUGGGUGCACGCUGGAUGUGCCUGCAUUCAAUGAUGGCUUAAAAACCGGUGAUCCUGCUGGAACAGAGAGGGACCAAUACCAUGUGCAGGGUUGGUGAUUUGAUCCCUCUCAUCUGCUGUUUUCCUUACUCCUGGAGCACCAGCCCCCUCCUUGCAGCCGGACAAGGCUGAGCAUUGAUAGCUCAUCUCUGUGCAAUGAUGAGUUAAGGGGGUGAGAACAAGGCCGCCGCACAAACAGAGCAGAGCUGCUGUUAAAUGAGGGACUGGUACCAGGAGGCUGAGACAUCUGCUCCUGGCUGCUUACGGGGAGAAGAAUGGGGCAAGUCAGGAGCUCUUGUUGAAUGAAAACACAUCCUGCUUUUGAGCUGCCCUCACCUUCCUUUACCUGCAGUGUGAAAUGGGGCAGAGUUGCAACGUCCUGAGCUCUGUGUCGCAGGUGAUCGGGCAGUGAAAAUAGACAGCUUUGAUGUGGACUGUUCUCACACGGGUGAGUGUGAUGGCAUCCCUCAGCCACUCCUCAUCAGAUUUGUGCCCUAGUUCCUUUAGCCCACUCAGUUUUGUGGCCCUUCUCGUGACACACCCCAGCACAUGGCAUGUGACUCCUUGUGAUACAAGGAAAAGUUACAGAGACCCAGGUUUUUUAUGGAUUUGGCCUUCAGUGCUCUGUCUAGUCCAGCAGCUAAGAAUGGAAGCCUUAUGUCUCAAAUAAGGAGAGGCUUAAACAAAGCAGGAGUCUUCAGAGAGCUGGCACUUGGGUUAAUGCUGGAGGAUGGAUUUGCUUGGGAUGCCUGUGCCACGACGGUCACCAGCGAACCACCAUGUGUGAGGUGUGGAUACAUGGCUGUGACACCUUUUUUUGAGCUGCCAGAAUGCACACAAAGCUUUCCAAAGACCAUUUCUCCUUUUGCUUUCUUUAAAGUUCAGUCCUGUAAACUCCUGCAGCUCAGGAGCUGAUUCACAAGCAGCUUGGGUGUCCCUGUGGUAGGAUUGCUCAGACCUCAGUGUGGGGUUAUGUGGCAUCACCGAGGAGAUGAAAUGAUUCCCUUUGUGCAAACAGAGCCCGAAGUGGAGUCACAGGACAUACCCGAAGGCUCUCCAAGGUGAUUGAUGCCAUCAGGCUGGAGCUGGUGAUCUUCUAGUCCCUCUGAAAGGAUCCCUCUGAAAGGAGUGGUGAUCAUUGCUCCCCUCUCUGAUGUGUCAGAGUCCAGGCUCACCUUGAAGGCGUUGCUGCAGAGCCAGCACCUUUGCUGGAGCAGCACCUUCCCAAGGGGGCUCUCUCACUGCUGCCCACGUCCGAGAGGAGGGAAUUAGCACCUGACCGACUCCAUCCCAGCCACGCAGCAGUGCUGGAUGAGCUGGUGCUGCAGCUUUCCUGUGUCCCAUUUCUGAAAGCUUUAUCUCUCCCUGUGAGACAGCCUCUCUCUCUGCAAGGACUUCAGUGUGACCCAGGCAAAUCCCUUUCCUUUUUCUCUUGUGUAAACGUGGCACAGCAACACAGAUCCCCUCAGGGGCCGGGUGAGGCACCCAUCUAUGUUUUCUAAGGCAGAGGCUUAAUUCUCACUCGAAAGUGUGCACAUGCAUACAGAUAUUUGACUCCCACUUCUAUUUUUAAUUUUUGUCAGAACUCUUAUGGAAAGAAGGAUCAAUAUUACUGCAAAAAAAGAAUAUAUUAUAUAUAUA